RNAcentral lists this ribosomal RNA (497 nucleotides) under uncultured bacterium. Its description in RNAcentral is "partial 16S ribosomal RNA". It matches the Rfam family "Bacterial small subunit ribosomal RNA", at positions 28 to 507 of the family's 1533-position model. The record is from RNAcentral.
GAUGAACGCUGGCGGCGUGCCUAAUACAUGCAAGUCGAGCGAACAGACGAGGAGCUUGCUCCUUUGACGUUAGCGGCGGACGGGUGAGUAACACGUGGGUAACCUACCUAUAAGACUGGGAUAACUUCGGGAAACCGGAGCUAAUACCGGAUAAUAUUUCGAACCGCAUGGUUCGAUAGUGAAAGAUGGCUUUGCUAUCACUUAUAGAUGGACCUGCGCCGUAUUAGCUAGUUGGUAAGGUAACGGCUUACCAAGGCAACGAUACGUAGCCGACCUGAGAGGGUGAUCGGCCACACUGGAACUGAGACACGGUCCAGACUCCUACGGGAGGCAGCAGUAGGGAAUCUUCCGCAAUGGGCGAAAGCCUGACGGAGCAACGCCGCGUGAGUGAUGAAGGCCUUCGGAUCGUAAAACCCUGUUAUUAGGGAAGAACAAACGUGUAAGUAACUGUGCACGUCUUGACGGUACCUAAUCAGAAAGCCACGGCUAACUACGUG